GGAGGGUAGCGAAGUGGCUAAACGCGGCGGACUGUAACCGCUCCUUUCGGGUUCGGGCAGUUCGAACAUCUGCCCCCCUCCACCA
Molecule: transfer RNA, 85 nt
Filed under: Bacillus sp. UFRGS-B20
Lineage: Bacteria; Bacillati; Bacillota; Bacilli; Caryophanales; Bacillaceae
Description: tRNA-Tyr
Source: RNAcentral